UCAAGUUCCCAUUCUGCAUUCCUGUGAGUGCGAGGAAUUUGGAAACUAGAUGGAAUUGCAGAAAAAAAUGUGGCUUUACUUUUCUCUCCAUGAAUGUUACUUGCUGUCGAAGAAAUAUGUUCGUUCAUUCAUUUUAAGGUCUUAGAAUUUCUUCUUUUCCCACAUCUUCUCUAAUAUUCUGGAAUGACUGAGACGAAUUCGCCCUAAAAUGUGCAGCUGUAUCCAAGAUUCGAUUACCGACAAUGGAAUGAUUUGGUUGCAGUGAAUUACUCAGUAAUUCCCUAUGAGAGCAAAAUAAAAACAUUCGUUUUCCUACAGAAAUUCUCCAAACUAGAAAAGCUCACCAAUGGCUAAGUAGAUACGAACCAGUUCCAUUAAAAGGUCUUCCCACGAAGACAUCUUUUCCUUCUCAGGUCAGGUUACUUUUCGCAAACAAGGCAGAAAUCAUCUUCACUACAUGAGAAAUUGCUGCUGUGAGAUCAACUGUCUAAAUUUGUAAUAAAUAUAUCGAAACAGUCUGCAAUUCUAAAACACCAUCAAUUCAAGACACAUUCUAAUAUGUGGUACGAAAACAUCUGCCUGGCGCAGUAGAGACGGCACAAAACAUAAGAAAGGGAGGACAGAAACAAGGU
Long non-coding RNA from Stegodyphus dumicola, 632 nucleotides. The record is from RefSeq and is a predicted model, not a curated record. Lineage: Eukaryota; Metazoa; Arthropoda; Arachnida; Araneae; Eresidae.